GAUGAACGCUGGCGGCGUGCCUAAUACAUGCAAGUCGAGCGAACAGACGAGGAGCUUGCUCCUCUGACGUUAGCGGCGGACGGGUGAGUAACACGUGGAUAACCUACCUAUAAGACUGGGAUAACUUCGGGAAACCGGAGCUAAUACCGGAUAACAUGUUGAACCGCAUGGUUUAACAGUGAAAGACGGUCUUGCUGUCACUUAUAGAUGGAUCCGCGCCGCAUUAGCUAGUUGGUAAGGUAACGGCUUACCAAGGCAACGAUGCGUAGCCGACCUGAGAGGGUGAUCGGCCACACUGGAACUGAGACACGGUCCAGACUCCUACGGGAGGCAGCAGUAGGGAAUCUUCCGCAAUGGGCGAAAGCCUGACGGAGCAACGCCGCGUGAGUGAAGAAGGUCUUCGGAUCGUAAAACUCUGUUAUUAGGGAAGAACAAAUGUGUAAGUAACUAUGCACGUCUUGACGGUACCUAAUCAAAAAGCCACGGCUAACUACGUG
RNAcentral lists this ribosomal RNA (497 nucleotides) under uncultured bacterium. Its description in RNAcentral is "partial 16S ribosomal RNA". It matches the Rfam family "Bacterial small subunit ribosomal RNA", at positions 28 to 507 of the family's 1533-position model. The record is from RNAcentral.